Molecule: ribosomal RNA, 663 nt
Filed under: uncultured Bacilli bacterium
Lineage: Bacteria; Bacillati; Bacillota; Bacilli
Description: bacterial SSU rRNA
Rfam family: Bacterial small subunit ribosomal RNA
Source: RNAcentral
UGCUCUUUCCGGAUGAGUUGCGAACGGGUGAGUAACGCGUAGGUAACCUGCCUGGUAGCGGGGGAUAACUAUUGGAAACGAUAGCUAAUACCGCAUAACAGUAGAUGUUGCAUGACAUCUGCUUGAAAGGGGCAAUUGCUCCACUACCAGAUGGACCUGCGUUGUAUUAGCUAGUUGGUGAGGUAACGGCUCACCAAGGCGACGAUACAUAGCCGACCUGAGAGGGUGAUCGGCCACACUGGGACUGAGACACGGCCCAGACUCCUACGGGAGGCAGCAGUAGGGAAUCUUCGGCAAUGGACGGAAGUCUGACCGAGCAACGCCGCGUGAGUGAAGAAGGUUUUCGGAUCGUAAAGCUCUGUUGUAAGAGAAGAACGAGUGUGAGAGUGGAAAGUUCACACUGUGACGGUAUCUUACCAGAAAGGGACGGCUAACUACGUGCCAGCAGCCGCGGUAAUACGUAGGUCCCGAGCGUUAUCCGGAUUUAUUGGGCGUAAAGCGAGCGCAGGCGGUUAGAUAAGUCUGAAGUUAAAGGCUGUGGCUUAACCAUAGUACGCUUUGGAAACUGUUUAACUUGAGUGCAAGAGGGGAGAGUGGAAUUCCAUGUGUAGCGGUGAAAUGCGUAGAUAUAUGGAGGAACACCGGUGGCGAAAGCGGCUCUCU